RNAcentral lists this ribosomal RNA (497 nucleotides) under uncultured bacterium. Its description in RNAcentral is "partial 16S ribosomal RNA". It matches the Rfam family "Bacterial small subunit ribosomal RNA", at positions 28 to 507 of the family's 1533-position model. The record is from RNAcentral.
GAUGAACGCUGGCGGCGUGCCUAAUACAUGCAAGUCGAGCGAACGGACGAGAAGCUUGCUUCUCUGAUGUUAGCGGCGGACGGGUGAGUAACAUGUGGAUAACCUACCUAUAAGACAGGGAUAACUUCGGGAAACCGGAGCUAAUACCGGAUAAUAUUUUGAACCGCAUGGUUCAAAAGUGAAAGACGGUCUUGCUGUCACUUAUAGAUGGAUCCUCGCUGCAUUAGCUAGUUGGUAAGGUAACGGCUUACCAAGGCAACGAUGCAUAGCCGACCUGAGAGGGUGGUCGGCCACACUGGAACUGAGACACGGUCCAGACUCCUACGGGAGGCAGCAGUAGGGAAUCUUCCGCGAUGGGCGAAAGCCUGACGGAGCAACGCCGCGUGAGUGAUGAAGGUCUUCGGAUCGUAAAACUCUGUUAUUAGUGAAGAACAUAUGUGUAAGUAACUGUGCACAUCUUGACGGUACCUGAACAGAAAGCCACGGCUAACUACGUG